UACGUAGGUGGCGAGUGUUGUUCGGAUUUAUUGGGCGUAAAGGGUCUGUAGGAGGUUUGUUAAAUACGGGGUGAAAUCCGGGAGCUCAACUCUCGAAUUGCCCUGUAGACUGACAGACCAGGGCAUUGGAGAGGUAAGCGGAAUACCAAGUGUAGCGGUGGAAUGCGUAGAUAUUUGGUAGAGCACCAAGAGCGAAGGCAGCUUACUGGACAUUAGCCGACUCUGAGAGAGGAAAGCGUGGGGAGCAAAC
Molecule: ribosomal RNA, 250 nt
Filed under: uncultured prokaryote
Description: partial 16S ribosomal RNA
Rfam family: Bacterial small subunit ribosomal RNA
Source: RNAcentral